AAGAAAUUGUCAUGUAUGUCCUCAAUUUAUUUCUUCUCCACAGAUGGGUGUUAACCCCCGUGGGUUGAUGCCAAAUAUCCUGUGGCAAAUGGAUGUCACGCAUAUAUCUGAGUUUGGAAAAUUGUCUUAUGUCCAUGUAACAGUAGAUACUUUUUCUCAUGUAAUUGUAGCAUCUGCCAGGAUGGGUGAAGCCUUUAAGGAUGUUAUACAACACCUUUUUCAAUGUUUUUCUGUUUUAGGAAUGCCAAAAAAGAUAAGGACUGAUAAUGCACCAGCUUAUACUUCAAAAGCUUUUAAAGAAUUUUGCAAUAAAGUUAACAUUUCUCAUUCUACAGGAAUUCCUUAUAAUCCACAGGGUCAAACAAUUGUAAAAAGGACACAUCAGAGACUUAAGCUACAAAUAAAUAAACUCAAAGAGGGAGAGUUUAAAUAUUCCUCUCCUCAUCAUAUAUUGCAGCAUGCAAUGUUUGUAAUAAGUCAUUUAAAUACUGAUAAAGAAGGGGACACAGCUAUGAUAAGACAUUGGGGUAAUAAAGAGACAAAAACUGUUUUGGUAAAAUGGAAAGACUUACUAACUAAUCAGUGGAAAGGACCUGAUGUUUUGUUAACAUCGGGACGGGGCUAUGCAUGUGUAUUUCCACAGGAUGCUGAAAGUCCUUUGUGGAUUCCUGAUAGGUUAAUAAGACAUUAUAAUGCCACCAAUCAGAAACAAGACAUGCAAAGAAUGCUGGAUGGGGUGCCAGACCACCAAUCAGGAGCCAAAGAACAACCCAGCUCUUGAGAUGAAGAAAUUGCGAGUCUCUCAGUCUGCAGCGACAAGGAAUGCAUCAUAUCCUACUUGAGGCCAGAUCAAGCGGCUAACUUCUGCAGCUGAAGGGGUGCUGACAUCCACCGGGAAAGAAAAAACGCCUGAAGCUUUGUUUUUGGCUAUGCUUGCUCUGCUUUCUUUUCAGUCAUCCUCGGAGUGAUUUGUGGCUUGUUUAAGCGCAUUAAUAUCCAGAAAGGGUCUCAUCGUGGGACGAUGCUUGCAAGGCCUCAUCAUGGGAGAAGAUGCCGCCGUUCCACCCUCAUUUUCUGGAGCUCGAUGUGCUUGCUUUGUCUUAUUAUAUUUUAUUCCUUAUUGCCUUAUAACUAUCACUCUGGGAGACUUGGGAGUAGGAUUGAAAAUUAUACCAAAGUAUGGGCUGGCCCGGUGGCGCACUUGGUAGAGUGCGGCGCUU
Molecule: long non-coding RNA, 1220 nt
Organism: Galeopterus variegatus (Sunda flying lemur)
Lineage: Eukaryota; Metazoa; Chordata; Mammalia; Dermoptera; Cynocephalidae
Exons: 3
Source: RefSeq, a predicted model, not a curated record